UACGGAGGGGGCAAGCGUUGUUCGGAAUUACUGGGCGUAAAGGGCGCGCAGGCGGCUGCUCAAGUCAGGCGUGAAAGGCCUGGGCUCAACCCGGGAAUUGCGCUUGAGACUGGGCUGGCUUGAGUGCGGGAGAGGAUGGUGGAAUUCCCAGUGUAGAGGUGAAAUUCGUAGAUAUUGGGAAGAACACCGGUGGCGAAGGCGGCCAUCUGGACCGCAACUGACGCUGAGGCGCGAAAGCGUGGGGAGCGAACAGG
RNAcentral lists this ribosomal RNA (254 nucleotides) under uncultured bacterium. RNAcentral describes it as "partial 16S ribosomal RNA". It matches the Rfam family "Bacterial small subunit ribosomal RNA", at positions 524 to 776 of the family's 1533-position model. The record is from RNAcentral.